GACGAACGCUGGCGGCGUGCUUAACACAUGCAAGUCGAACGGAAAGGCCCUGCUUUUGUGGGGUGCUCGAGUGGCGAACGGGUGAGUAACACGUGAGUAACCUGCCCUUGACUUUGGGAUAACUUCAGGAAACUGGGGCUAAUACCGGAUAGGAGCUCCUGCUGCAUGGUGGGGGUUGGAAAGUUUCGGCGGUUGGGGAUGGACUCGCAGCUUAUCAGCUUGUUGGUGGGGUAGUGGCUUACCAAGGCUUUGACGGGUAGCCGGCCUGGGAGGGUGACCGGGCACAAGGGGACUGCGGGAGGGCGCAGUAGGCUACGGUAGGCAAUAGUGGAAAGCAUGACGCAGUGGGGGGAAGCGAGAGACAGCGGCGCCGCGUGCGGAAUGACGGCUUUCGGGGUGUAAACCGCUGUCUACGUAAACGAGGCGUGAGUGACGGUAAUGAGUAAGAAAGCAACGGCUAACUACGUG
Molecule: ribosomal RNA, 468 nt
Filed under: uncultured bacterium
Lineage: Bacteria
Description: partial 16S ribosomal RNA
Rfam family: Bacterial small subunit ribosomal RNA
Source: RNAcentral